RNAcentral lists this ribosomal RNA (484 nucleotides) under uncultured bacterium. Its description in RNAcentral is "partial 16S ribosomal RNA". It matches the Rfam family "Bacterial small subunit ribosomal RNA", at positions 29 to 507 of the family's 1533-position model. The record is from RNAcentral.
AUUGAACGCUGGCGGCAGGCCUAACACAUGCAAGUCGAGCGGAUGAAGGGUGCUUGCUCCUGGAUUCAGCGGCGGACGGGUGAGUAAUGCCUAGGAAUCUGCCUGGUAGUGGGGGAUAACGUCCGGAAACGGGCGCUACUACCGCAUCCGUCCUGAUGGAGCAAGUGGGGGAUCUUCGGCCCUCACGCUAUCAGAUGACCCUAGGUCGGAUUAGCUAGGUGGUGGGGUAAAGGCCUACCAAGGCGACGAUCCGUAACUGGUCUGAGAGGCUGAUCAGUCACACGGGAACUGAGACACGGUCCAGACUCCGACGGGAGGCAGCAGGGGGGAAUAGUGGACAAAGGGCGAAAGCCUGAUCCAGCCAUGGCGCGUGUGAGAAGAAGGUCUUCGGAUUGUAAAGCACUGUAAGUAGGGAGGAAGGGGAGUAAGAUAAUACCUUGAUGUUGUGACGGUACCAAAAGAAUAAGCACCGGCUAACUUCGUG